UUUAAUAAUAGAUUUAAUUUUAUUUCUCUAUUAUGUAAAGUGCUUUUCCUGAAGAAAUGAGCUUUCAAAUUAUAUUUGAUUUAGGUUAAUAUUAAUGCCCUGUACAUCCUGAGUACAUGUUUCCAGAAAGAGGUGAUCCAGGAGGCUGCCAAGUGGCCUGCAGGUGACAUCCAGAGGGCAGAAAAUGCCCAUGCAGGUCCACGUGUGGGUCCUUAAGCCCCUUGAGGAAAAGGGAGGAGAAAAGGACAAAGAAGGCUCUCCCUUUCCCUUGGAUCCCCUUCUACUCCCACAUGCCUAGUGGGAGCCUCCCUCUUCUGCUUGAGCCUUCAGGACAGGUUCAGGACCCUGUCUCCUACCUGGCUGGGCCAGAAAUGAGGAACAUGUUGCAAGCCUUCCUCCACCUGACUUGCCAAGUCCAUACAGGCUGGGGCCUUAGAUCCAACAACUUAGAAAGGAAGCUGCUUGGACCUGAAGGUGGAGCUGAAUUUGAGCCUUUGCUGGAGGGUGCCCACACUCCUGUUCUUUAGAAGAAAGGGACGGCAGGAGUCUGAUCAUCUGUCCGAUGCCCACACAGUGGCUGUGCUGAGUGACGUGUUGUUUUGAGGAUGUCCCUACCCCCUGGUCUUGCCGUCGGUCUCCAGUACCCAGCGAAGCAAGCUGUGGGCUCUGAGGAGCUCACACCAGGGAGGAGCUGCCCUGGAGUGGAGCAACAGCAUGUCCUCUCCCCUGUGUGACUGCAGUGCUAUAAUAAUAAUAACAGAAAGCUGGCAUUUCUUGAGCUCUUACUGUGUGCCAGAGACACCGCUCUAAGUGCUUACACAUAUGUAUUCGUUUUCUGUAGUUGCUGUAACAAAUUAUCACAA
Molecule: long non-coding RNA, 863 nt
Filed under: Homo sapiens (human)
Lineage: Eukaryota; Metazoa; Chordata; Mammalia; Primates; Hominidae
Description: HSALNT0365223
Source: RNAcentral